AAGAAAGUUGCUUCCAGGUUUCUCUGUGGAUGAUGGUCCUAGCCAGUAAAUGAAGGUGCCUGUUACAUUGGUGGAAUACUGAAGUUAUUUUUACAGCAUUUGUCUCCUGAGACAGAAGGAUAAUGAGGAAGAGGGUCUCAACUAGAUGGGUUUUCAUUUUGGCUCUGUUCUCUGACACUGUUAAGCUGGAAUUGAGAACUGAGCAUGAAGAAAGGAACCCAAAGCACAGGACAAAUCUGGCUGUUCUUGGAACACAGCCACCUCUGAGAUAUUUUGACUUUUCCCUGAAG
Molecule: long non-coding RNA, 290 nt
Organism: Trachemys scripta elegans
Lineage: Eukaryota; Metazoa; Chordata; Testudines; Emydidae
Exons: 3
Source: RefSeq, a predicted model, not a curated record